This 913-nucleotide small RNA is filed under the name uncultured Cryptococcus. RNAcentral's name for it is "eukaryotic LSU rRNA". The stretch from base 627 to 913 matches the Rfam family "Eukaryotic large subunit ribosomal RNA", at positions 1 to 281 of the family's 3401-position model. Lineage: Eukaryota; Fungi; Basidiomycota; Tremellomycetes. The record is from RNAcentral.
CUUGGUCAUUUAGAGGAAGUAAAAGUCGUAACAAGGUUUCCGUAGGUGAACCUGCGGAAGGAUCAUUAGUGAAUUGAAUAUGUUAGCGGACCUCUUCGGAGUCCCUAGCAUCAAAUCAUAUCCAUAACACCUGUGAACUGUAAGGCUGUCUUGAAAACGAAAGUGAUUAGAGCGCCUGCCCAUUUUAUACAAACAUUAAAGUAACAAACGUAGUCUUAUUAUAAUCUAAUAAAACUUUCAACAACGGAUCUCUUGGCUCUCGCAUCGAUGAAGAACGCAGCGAAAUGCGAUAAGUAAUGUGAAUUGCAGAAUUCAGUGAAUCAUCGAAUCUUUGAACGCACCUUGCGCUCUUUGGUAUUCCGAAGAGCAUGCCUGUUUGAGUGUCAUGAAAAUAUCAACCUUGACUUGGGUUUAGUGCUCUUGUCUUGGCUUGGAUUUGGCUGUUUGCCGCUCGAAAGAGUCGGCUCAGCUUAAAAGUAUUAGCUGGAUCUGUCUUUGAGACUUGGUUUGACUUGGCGUAAUAAGUUAUUUCGCUGAGGACAAUCUUCGGAUUGGCCGAGUUUCUGGGACGUUUGUCCGCUUUCUAAUACAAGUUCUAGCUUGCUAGACAUGACUUUUUUAUUAUCUGGCCUCAAAUCAGGUAGGACUACCCGCUGAACUUAAGCAUAUCAAUAAGCGGAGGAAAAGAAACUAACAAGGAUUCCCCUAGUAACGGCGAGUGAAGCGGGAAGAGCUCAAAUUUGAAAUCUGGUGGCCUCAGGCUAUCCGAGUUGUAAUCUAUAGAAACAUUUUCCGCGUUGGCCCAUGUACAAGUCUCUUGGAAUAGAGCGUCAUAGAGGGUGAGAAUCCCGUCCUUGACAUGGACUACCAGUGCUUUGUGAUAUGUUUUCAACGAGUCGAGUUGUUUGGGAAU